GCGGCUUCUCGGCCUUUUGGCUAAGAUCAAAUGUAGUAUCUGUUGUUGAUUUGCAUUAAAAAGAAGCUGCCACGGUGCUUCCUAGGAGUUCUAGUUCUUUGAAAGGCACCCUAUGU
This 116-nucleotide small nuclear RNA is filed under the name Pogona vitticeps (central bearded dragon). RNAcentral's name for it is "U2 spliceosomal RNA (ENSPVIG00000008110.1)". It matches the Rfam family "U2 spliceosomal RNA". From Rfam's summary of the family: U2 is a small nuclear RNA (snRNA) component of the spliceosome (involved in pre-mRNA splicing). Complementary binding between U2 snRNA (in an area lying towards the 5' end but 3' to hairpin I) and the branchpoint sequence (BPS) of the intron results the bulging out of an unpaired adenosine, on the BPS, which initiates a nucleophilic attack at the intronic 5' splice site, thus starting the first of two transesterification reactions that mediate splicing. Lineage: Eukaryota; Metazoa; Chordata; Lepidosauria; Squamata; Agamidae. The record is from RNAcentral.